Arachis stenosperma is the source of this 109-nucleotide small nucleolar RNA. The record is from RefSeq and is a predicted model, not a curated record. NCBI's taxonomy places the organism in Eukaryota, Viridiplantae, Streptophyta, Magnoliopsida, Fabales, Fabaceae.
AAACCAUAUCUGAGGAGCAUCUCCUGAUCAUUUUCUUGUAUCUCUCCCAUGCCUCAUAGAGGGACUCUCCAUCUUUUUGUCUGAAGGUCUAAACAUAUACUCUAAGCUU